GAAACUAGAAAGAAAUAGUACAAAAAGAACCAGUUGUCCUCCUGAGCUGUCUCCAGAGCCCCUUUUCCUCAGAGCUGCUGUCCCCUCUCUGCAGCCCAGAUUGCCAUGUUGCCCUGCCUUGGAGCCAGCCAGGUAUGAACUGAAACCUCUACAAUGUAUGAGCGACAAUAAACCUUUCUUCCCUUAAUUUUGGUGGGCUGCCCUGCAGAGUGAUGAGCAGGACCAGUGAGAUCAAACACUCUUAUCUUGCUAGGACAAAACUACCCAGUGUGGGGCCGGGGUGUGGCUCAGUGAUAAGAGUAUGGAGCAAUUGGCCUAAUAGAUGGCUGUGGACUUCAUCCCCAGUACCGAACAGCAGAAGCAAACCAGACAAGAGAAGCCAUCACUUGCACUCACAAGUUCCUGUCUCAAAAAAAAAAAGCAAACGUCUAGUCUUUCAUUGCCAUGAGUUCAAGGCCAGCCUGAGCUACAUGAGUGCGUUCAAGGGCAGCCUGCACACAUAAUGAGACACUGUUCCAAAGAAAAGAAAAAAAGAAUAUUACCUGUGAGUUUUAAAGAUGAGCUUUUGAAGACUGAAUAUAUUUCAUAUUUCUUUCUGUUGAAUUCUGUCAAGUGCCAUAUUAAAUAUAUUUA
Molecule: long non-coding RNA, 633 nt
Organism: Cavia porcellus (domestic guinea pig)
Lineage: Eukaryota; Metazoa; Chordata; Mammalia; Rodentia; Caviidae
Exons: 3
Source: RefSeq, a predicted model, not a curated record